RNAcentral lists this ribosomal RNA (458 nucleotides) under uncultured bacterium. RNAcentral describes it as "partial 16S ribosomal RNA". It matches the Rfam family "Bacterial small subunit ribosomal RNA", at positions 338 to 795 of the family's 1533-position model. The record is from RNAcentral.
CCUACGGGAGGCAGCAGUGAGGAAUAUUGGUCAAUGGGCGAGAGCCUGAACCAGCCAAGUCGCGUGAGGGAGUACUGCCCUAUGGGUUGUAAACCUCUUUUGUCGGGGAGCAAAAGCCGGACGUGUCCGGCUGUGAGAGUACCCGAAGAAAAAGCAUCGGCUAACUCCGUGCCAGCAGCCGCGGUAAUACGGGGGAUGCGAGCGUUAUCCGGAUUUAUUGGGUUUAAAGGGUGCGCAGGCGGAUUGUCAAGUCAGCGGUAAAAUCGUGGGGCUCAACCCCAUCCAGCCGUUGAACCUGGGGAUCUAGAGUGUGCGAGAAGUAUGCGGAAUGCGUGGCGUAGCGGUGAAAUGCAUAGAUAUCACGCAGAACCCCGAUUGCGAAGGCAGCAUACCGGUGCACAACUGACGCUCAGGCACGAAAGCGUGGGUAUCGAACAGGAUUAGAUACCCGUGUAGUC